GACGAACGCUGGCGGCGUGCUUAACACAUGCAAGUCGAGCGGUAAGGCCCUUUCGGGGGUACGACGAGCGGCGAACGGGUGAGUAACACGUGGGUGACCUGCCCUCCAGCUCUGGGAGUAAGCCCGGGAAACUGGGUCUAAUACCGGAUAUGACUUCAUGACGCAUGUUGUGGAGUGGAAAGCCUUGUGCGGCUGAGGAUGGGCCCGCGGCCUAUCAGCUUGUUGGUGGGGUGAUGGCCUACCAAGGCGACGACGGGUAGCCGGCCUGAGAGGGCGACCGGCCACACUGGGACUGAGAUACGGCCCAGACUCCUACGGGAGGCAGCAGUGGGGAAUCUUGCGCAAUGGGCGAAAGCCUGACGCAGCGACGCCGCGUGAGGGAUGACGGCCUGUGU
Molecule: ribosomal RNA, 395 nt
Filed under: uncultured bacterium
Lineage: Bacteria
Description: bacterial SSU rRNA
Rfam family: Bacterial small subunit ribosomal RNA
Source: RNAcentral